This 253-nucleotide ribosomal RNA is filed under the name uncultured bacterium. RNAcentral describes it as "partial 16S ribosomal RNA". It matches the Rfam family "Bacterial small subunit ribosomal RNA", at positions 524 to 776 of the family's 1533-position model. The record is from RNAcentral.
UACGUAGGGCGCAAGCGUUAUCCGGAAUUAUUGGGCGUAAAGAGCUCGUAGGCGGUUUGUCGCGUCUGCCGUGAAAGUCCGGGGCUCAACUCCGGAUCUGCGGUGGGUACGGGCAGACUAGAGUGAUGUAGGGGAGACUGGAAUUCCUGGUGUAGCGGUGAAAUGCGCAGAUAUCAGGAGGAACACCCGUGGCGAAGGCGGCUCUCUGGGACGGUACUGACGCUGAGACGCGAAAGCGUGGGGAGCGAACAGG